RNAcentral lists this ribosomal RNA (253 nucleotides) under uncultured bacterium. RNAcentral's name for it is "partial 16S ribosomal RNA". It matches the Rfam family "Bacterial small subunit ribosomal RNA", at positions 524 to 776 of the family's 1533-position model. The record is from RNAcentral.
UACGUAGGGUGCGAGCGUUAAUCGGAAUUACUGGGCGUAAAGCGUGCGCAGGCGGUUUUGUAAGCCAGAUGUGAAAGCCCCGGGCUUAACCUGGGAAUGGCAUUUGGGACUGCAAGGCUUGAGUGCGGCAGAGGAGACUGGAAUUCCUGGUGUAGCAGUGAAAUGCGUAGAUAUCAGGAGGAACACCGGUGGCGAAGGCGGGACUCUGGGCCGAUACUGACGCUGAGGAGCGAAAGCGUGGGGAGCAAACAGG